Molecule: ribosomal RNA, 636 nt
Filed under: Bipolaris oryzae
Lineage: Eukaryota; Fungi; Ascomycota; Dothideomycetes; Pleosporales; Pleosporaceae
Description: eukaryotic LSU rRNA
Rfam family: 5.8S ribosomal RNA (bases 250-403)
Source: RNAcentral
GGCCGCGAAAGCCAGGCCUUCAUAUUUUGUUGUGUAAUGAUCCCUUCCGUAGGUGAACCUGCGGAGGGAUCAUUACACAACAAAAUAUGAAGGCCUGGCUUUCGCGGCCGGCUGAAGUAUUUUUUUCACCCAUGUCUUUUGCGCACUUGUUGUUUCCUGGGCGGGUUCGCCCGCCACCAGGACCAAACCAUAAACCUUUUUUUCUUAUGCAGUUUCCAUCAGCGUCAGUAAAAACAAUGUAAUUAUUACAACUUUCAACAACGGAUCUCUUGGUUCUGGCAUCGAUGAAGAACGCAGCGAAAUGCGAUACGUAGUGUGAAUUGCAGAAUUCAGUGAAUCAUCGAAUCUUUGAACGCACAUUGCGCCCUUUGGUAUUCCAAAGGGCAUGCCUGUUCGAGCGUCAUUUGUACCUUCAAGCUUUGCUUGGUGUUGGGCGUUUUUUUGUCUCCCUCUUUCUGGGAGACUCGCCUUAAAACGAUUGGCAGCCGGCCUACUGGUUUCGGAGCGCAGCACAUUUUUUGCGCUUUGUAUCAGGAGAAAAGGACGGUACUCCAUCAAGACUCUACAUUUUUCACUUUUGACCUCGGAUCAGGUAGGGAUACCCGCUGAACUUAAGCAUAUCAAUAAGCGGAGGAA